Molecule: ribosomal RNA, 273 nt
Filed under: Triticum aestivum (bread wheat)
Lineage: Eukaryota; Viridiplantae; Streptophyta; Magnoliopsida; Poales; Poaceae
Description: partial small subunit ribosomal RNA
Source: RNAcentral
AUGCACAAAGCAUAUGACCGUGUGGAAUGGUGCUUUCUUAAAGGAAUUAUGUUGAGAAUGGGAUUUGAUGUGAGAUGGGUAGAACUAAUGAUGGCAUGUGUUAAAUCUGUUACAUAUUCAGUGAGAUUUAAUUCGCAGAUAACAGAAAGAUUUAUCCCAUCACGGGGGCUCCGACAGGGUGACCCACUUAGCCCAUAUUUAUUUUUUUGGUGGCAGAGGGUUUAUCAGCCUUAUUGUCGGAUGCUGAAGAAAGAGGAGCAAUCGAAGGGGUGA